GCAUGCCGCGGUGAAUAUGUUCCCGGGCCUUGUACACACCGCCCGUCACACCAUGGGAGCCGGUAAUACCCGAAGUCAGUAGUCCAACCUCGUGAGGACGCUGCCGAAGGUAGGAUUGGCGACUGGGGUGAAGUCGUAACAAGGUACC
Molecule: ribosomal RNA, 148 nt
Filed under: uncultured bacterium
Lineage: Bacteria
Description: partial 16S ribosomal RNA
Rfam family: Bacterial small subunit ribosomal RNA
Source: RNAcentral